AAUUGAGGGGGGCUGCUCCUAGUACGAGAGGACCGGAGUGGACGCAUCACUGGUGUUCGGGUUGUCAUGCCAAUGGCAUUGCCCGGUAGCUACAUGCGGAAGAGAUAAGUGCUGAAAGCAUCUAAGCACGAAACUUGCCCCGAGAUGAGUUCUCCCUGAUUCUUUAAGAGUCCUGAAGGAACGUUGAAGACGACGACGUUGAUAGGUCGGGUGUGUAAGUGUAGCGAUACAUUGAGCUAACCGAUACUAAUGAACCGUGAGGCUUAACCUUACAACGCCGAAG
This 283-nucleotide ribosomal RNA is filed under the name Salmonella enterica subsp. houtenae. RNAcentral's name for it is "partial 23S ribosomal RNA". It matches the Rfam family "Bacterial large subunit ribosomal RNA", at positions 2660 to 2925 of the family's 2925-position model. The record is from RNAcentral. Lineage: Bacteria; Pseudomonadati; Pseudomonadota; Gammaproteobacteria; Enterobacterales; Enterobacteriaceae.